Molecule: ribosomal RNA, 253 nt
Filed under: uncultured bacterium
Lineage: Bacteria
Description: partial 16S ribosomal RNA
Rfam family: Bacterial small subunit ribosomal RNA
Source: RNAcentral
UACGAAGGGGGCUAGCGUUGUUCGGAAUUACUGGGCGUAAAGCGCACGUAGGCGGAUUGUUAAGUCAGAGGUGAAAUCCCGGAGCUCAACUUCGGAACUGCCUUUGAUACUGGCAAUCUAGAGUCCGGAAGAGGUUAAUGGAAUUCCCAGUGUAGAGGUGGAAUUCGUAGAUAUUAGGAAGAACACCAGUGGCGAAGGCGGCUCACUGGUCCGGUACUGACGCUGAGGUGCGAAAGCGUGGGGAGCAAACAGG